This 274-nucleotide ribosomal RNA is filed under the name uncultured bacterium. Its description in RNAcentral is "partial 16S ribosomal RNA". It matches the Rfam family "Bacterial small subunit ribosomal RNA", at positions 523 to 796 of the family's 1533-position model. The record is from RNAcentral.
CUACGAGGGGUGCAAGCGUUAAUCGGAAUUACUGGGCGUAAAGCGUUCGUAGGCGGUUUGUUAAGCAAGAUGUGAAAGCCCUGGGCUCAACCUGGGAACUGCAUUUUGAACUGGCAAGCUAGAAUACUGUAGAGGGUGGUGGAAUUUCCAGUGUAGCGGUGAAAUGCGUAGAGAUUGGAAGGAACAUCAGUGGCGAAGGCGGCCACCUGGACAGAUAUUGACGCUGAGGAACGAAAGCGUGGGGAGCGAACAGGAUUAGAAACCCUUGUAGUCC